AGGUGACUUUAACUCGCAUUUUUUUUUCUUUCUUUAUUGCAGGUCAGUUUCUCUGGGAGCAAUGGAGUUUGGAUUAUAAGAUGCUUACUGCUGUAGCACUGGGGAUUGAGCCCAGGCCUUCACAGGAGGGCAAGCCCUUGGCUGAGGUCGCUCCGCACCGCCAGGGCCAACCUGAAGGAGCAGAUGGCCAGCACUGAAGGUCUGCAGCAAGGGUCCUUCCUCCUGGGGGGACCUGGGUGACAUCUGCGCCACCACCCGCCACCGGCACCUCUUGGAGACUCUUCUUGGUGUGCAUCCUGGGAUGCACUUCAGUGAGAUUCCAGGGCACUGUCUCCAUUCCCAAGGGAAGCAGAAGAGAAAAGUUCCUAAGAGGAGUUAAAGCUUGAGCACCAUCACCCAUCUCCACAGCACUCUACAUUUCCUGUGGCCCAGUCUCUUUGCACCCCCUGCUCCUCCUUACAGUAAAUUCUGGUCUUAGCAUCCCAUUGUCCUCAGUAAGCCUCAUUUUGGACCAGCUCCUCCUCCAUCGGCCCUGGCAUGCAGAGGGGAGCCACCUCGAG
RNAcentral lists this long non-coding RNA (560 nucleotides) under Fukomys damarensis (Damara mole-rat). Its description in RNAcentral is "lncRNA (ENSFDAG00000025906.1)". Lineage: Eukaryota; Metazoa; Chordata; Mammalia; Rodentia; Bathyergidae. The record is from RNAcentral.